Molecule: ribosomal RNA, 503 nt
Filed under: uncultured bacterium
Lineage: Bacteria
Description: partial 16S ribosomal RNA
Rfam family: Bacterial small subunit ribosomal RNA
Source: RNAcentral
GAUGAACGCUAGCGGCAGGCCUAACACAUGCAAGUCGAGGGGUAGCAGGAUUAAGCUUGCUUAAUUGCUGACGACCGGCGCACGGGUGCGUAACGCGUAUGCAACCUACCUUAUACUGGGGUAUAGCCCGGAGAAAUUCGGAUUAACCCCCCAUAGUACUAAUGAAUCGCAUGGUUUAUUAGUUAAAGCAUUGCGGUAUAAGACGGGCGUGCGUCCUAUUAGCUAGAUGGUGAGGUAACGGCUCACCAUGGCUACGAUAGGUAGGGGGCCUGAGAGGGUGGCCCCCCACACUGGUACUGAGACACGGACCAGACUCCUACGGGAGGCAGCAGUGAUGAAUAUUGGUCAAUGGGCGCAAGCCUGAACCAGCCAUGCCGCGUGCAGGAAGAAUGCCCUAUGGGUUGUAAACUGCUUUUAUUUGGGAAUAAACCUCUUUACGUGUAGAGAGCUGAAGGUACCAAAUGAAUAAGCACCGGCUAACUCCGUGCCAGCCGCCGCGGUAA